ACUUUAUGGAAAAAUAAAAAUAAAAAUAAAUUUCUGAGAUAUAUUGAGAGGAAAAAUAUUGUAUCGAAGGAACAAUAAUUUUGUCAAAAUGGUUGUUAUUCUUUACUGCAUGUCAUUUUCAAUAAUUUCAACUAUAGCAGCUACUAACAAACUUUAUAGUAGAUUUUGUUUCCAAAGGAAAAGCUAGAGGGGGGAGAUACCUGUCCUCGAGGUCUGGAACCCAAUAUCAACCCC
This 234-nucleotide long non-coding RNA is filed under the name Elaeis guineensis (African oil palm). Its description in RNAcentral is "long non-coding RNA (EGUI_LNC016462)". Lineage: Eukaryota; Viridiplantae; Streptophyta; Magnoliopsida; Arecales; Arecaceae. The record is from RNAcentral.